CCUACGGUCAGCUGCAGUGGGGAAUAUUGGACAAUGGGCGAAAGCCUGAUCCAGCCAUGCCGCGUGUGUGAAGAAGGCCUUCGGGUUGUAAAGCACUUUCAGUGGGGAAGAAAGCCUUGGGGCUAAUACCCUCGAGGAAGGACAUCACCCACAGAAGAAGCACCGGCUAACUCCGUGCCAGCAGCCGCGGUAAUACGGAGGGUGCGAGCGUUAAUCGGAAUUACUGGGCGUAAAGCGCGCGUAGGCGGUCUGAUAAGCCGGUUGUGAAAGCCCCGGGCUCAACCUGGGAACGGCAUCCGGAACUGUCAGGCUAGAGUGCAGGAGAGGAAGGUAGAAUUCCCGGUGUAGCGGUGAAAUGCGUAGAGAUCGGGAGGAAUACCAGUGGCGAAGGCGGCCUUCUGGACUGACACUGACGCUGAGGUGCGAAAGCGUGGGUAGCAAACAGGAUUAGAUACCCCUGUAGUC
RNAcentral lists this ribosomal RNA (465 nucleotides) under Vreelandella stevensii. RNAcentral describes it as "partial 16S ribosomal RNA". It matches the Rfam family "Bacterial small subunit ribosomal RNA", at positions 338 to 795 of the family's 1533-position model. Lineage: Bacteria; Pseudomonadati; Pseudomonadota; Gammaproteobacteria; Oceanospirillales; Halomonadaceae. The record is from RNAcentral.